RNAcentral lists this ribosomal RNA (301 nucleotides) under uncultured bacterium. RNAcentral's name for it is "partial 16S ribosomal RNA". It matches the Rfam family "Bacterial small subunit ribosomal RNA", at positions 509 to 809 of the family's 1533-position model. The record is from RNAcentral.
CAGUCGCCGCGGGAACACGGAGGGUGCAAGCGUUAUCCGGAUUUAUUGGGUUUAAAGGGUCCGUAGGCGGACUUAUAAGUCAGUGGUGAAAGCCUGUCGCUUAACGAUAGAACUGCCAUUGAUACUGUAAGUCUUGAGUAUAUUUGAGGUAGCUGGAAUAAGUAGUGUAGCGGUGAAAUGCAUAGAUAUUACUUAGAACACCAAUUGCGAAGGCAGGUUACCAAGAUAUAACUGACGCUGAGGGACGAAAGCGUGGGUAGCGAACAGGAUUAGAUACCCCUGUAGUCCCUGUCUCUUAUAU